RNAcentral lists this ribosomal RNA (429 nucleotides) under Acidobacteriota bacterium. RNAcentral's name for it is "Acidobacteria bacterium partial 16S ribosomal RNA". It matches the Rfam family "Bacterial small subunit ribosomal RNA", at positions 355 to 776 of the family's 1533-position model. The record is from RNAcentral. Lineage: Bacteria; Pseudomonadati; Acidobacteriota.
UGGGGAAUUUUGGACAAUGGGGGAAACCCUGAUCCAGCCAUCCCGCGUGUGCGAUGAAGGCCUUCGGGUUGUAAAGCACUUUUGGUAGGAAAGAAACGUCAUGGGUUAAUACCCUGUGAAACUGACGGUACCUGCAGAAUAAGCACCGGCUAACUACGUGCCAGCAGCCGCGGUAAUACGUAGGGUGCAAGCGUUAAUCGGAAUUACUGGGCGUAAAGCGUGCGCAGGCGGUUCGGAAAGAAAGAUGUGAAAUCCCAGAACUCAACUUUGGAACUGCAUUUUUAACUACCGGGCUAGAGUGUGUCAGAGGGGGGUGGAAUUCCGCGUGUAGCAGUGAAAUGCGUAGAUAUGCGGAGGAACACCGAUGGCGAAGGCAGCCUACUGGGAUAACACUGACGCUCAUGCACGAAAGCGUGGGGAGCAAACAGG